UAGUACCGUGAGGGAAUGGUGAAAAGAACCCUUAUAAAGGGAGUGAAAUAGAAUCUGAAACCGCUAGCAUACAAGCAGUAGGAGCAUGAUUUAGUCAUGUGACUGCGUACCUUUUGUAUAAUUGGUCAGCGAGUUAUUUUUAGUGGCGAGGAUAACUGAAUAAGGGAUCCGUAGCGAAAGCGAGUUUUAAUAGGUCGACUAGUCGCUAGGAGUAUACCCGAAACCGGCGCGAUCUAUCCAUGGCCAGGGUGAAGAUUAGGUAGUACUA
This 268-nucleotide ribosomal RNA is filed under the name Francisella tularensis subsp. holarctica. Its description in RNAcentral is "partial 23S ribosomal RNA". It matches the Rfam family "Bacterial large subunit ribosomal RNA", at positions 496 to 764 of the family's 2925-position model. Lineage: Bacteria; Pseudomonadati; Pseudomonadota; Gammaproteobacteria; Thiotrichales; Francisellaceae. The record is from RNAcentral.